AGAGUUUGAUCCUGGCUCAGGACGAACGCUGGCGGCGUGCCUAAUACAUGCAAGUCGAACGAGGUUCAUCGAGUGGUAACACCCGAGAAGAUCUAGUGGCGAACGGGUGCGUAACACGUGAGCAACCUGCCCCGAAGACCGGGAUAACAGCGGGAAACCGCUGCUAAUACCGGAUACCCCCAUCUGCCCGCAUGGGUGGGUGAGGAAAUGGAUUCCGCUUCGGGAGGGGCUCGCGGCCUAUCAGCUUGUUGGUGGGGUAAUGGCCUACCAAGGCAACGACGGGUAGCUGGUCUGAGAGGACGAUCAGCCACACUGGGACUGAGACACGGCCCAGACUCCUACGGGAGGCAGCAGUAGGGAAUCUUGCGCAAUGGGCGAAAGCCUGACGCAGCAACGCCGCGUGGGGGAUGAAGGCCUUCGGGUUGUAAA
This 429-nucleotide ribosomal RNA is filed under the name uncultured bacterium. RNAcentral describes it as "bacterial SSU rRNA". It matches the Rfam family "Bacterial small subunit ribosomal RNA", at positions 8 to 429 of the family's 1533-position model. The record is from RNAcentral.